GUGCCAGCCGCCGCGGUAAUACAGAGGGUGCUAGCGUUAAUCGGAAUUACUGGGCGUAAAGCGUGUGUAGGUGGUUAGAUAAGUUAGAUGUGAAAUCCCCGGGCUUAACCUGGGCAUUGCGUUUAAGACUGUUUAGCUUGAGUACUGUAGAGGAUAGUGGAAUUUCCAGUGUAGCGGUGAAAUGCGUAGAUAUUGGAAGGAACACCAGUGGCGAAGGCGACUAUCUGGACAGAUACUGACACUGAGACACGAAAGCGUGGGGAGCAAACAGGAUUAGAAACCCGUGUAGUCC
RNAcentral lists this ribosomal RNA (292 nucleotides) under uncultured bacterium. Its description in RNAcentral is "partial 16S ribosomal RNA". It matches the Rfam family "Bacterial small subunit ribosomal RNA", at positions 505 to 796 of the family's 1533-position model. The record is from RNAcentral.